Non-coding RNA from Salarias fasciatus (jewelled blenny), 618 nucleotides. The record is from the annotation of a RefSeq genome assembly. Lineage: Eukaryota; Metazoa; Chordata; Actinopteri; Blenniiformes; Blenniidae.
AUGACAGAACAGAGGAAAGAGGAGGUGGAGGACACUGCCAGCAGACACCUUGUGGUGCAGAUGAGGACCAGAGGAAGUAAAAGUAGUUUUGCAGAGUUUGUUUCACAGUCAGAGAGUGGUGUCUCUCUACAGUCAGAGGUUUUUGUACAGCGGCUCAAUGAGUUUGUAUCACUGUGGUACACGUUCGGUGGAGGAACCAGACUGGAUGUUGGAAGUGACAGGCCCCCCAGCCUGACGGUGCUGCCCCCCUCCAGAGAGGAGCUGCAGCAGGGGAAGGCCACGCUCAUGUGCCUGGCCAACAAGGGCUUCCCCUCAGGCUGGAGUCUGAGCUGGAAGGUGGAGGACAGCAGCAGCAGCAGCAGCUGGGAGGAGAGCAGGAGCCCCGGGGUGCUGCAGAAGGACGGCCUCUACAGCUGGAGCAGCACCCUGAGGCUCCCUGCAGACCAGUGGAGGAAGGUGGGCUCUGUGACCUGUGAGGCCACCCAGGGCUCCCAGACUCCCCUCAGAGAGACACUGAGGAGAGACCAGUGUUCCCAGUCCUGACCGGACUCACUGGGACUCUCACACUGCUUUGACUCUCACACUCAUCUCACCUCUGUCAUUCACUCUCUUUCACUU